Molecule: ribosomal RNA, 329 nt
Filed under: uncultured Butyrivibrio sp.
Lineage: Bacteria; Bacillati; Bacillota; Clostridia; Lachnospirales; Lachnospiraceae
Description: bacterial SSU rRNA
Rfam family: Bacterial small subunit ribosomal RNA
Source: RNAcentral
GAUGAACGCUGGCGGCGUGCCUAACACAUGCAAGUCGAACGGACCCAUGGAAAAGAUUAGCUUGCUAUGAUUUUCCGGAAGGUUAGUGGCGGACGGAUGAGUAACGCGUGGGUAACCUGCCUCAUACAGGGGGAUAGCAGUUGGAAACGACUGGUAAUACCGCAUAAGCGCACAGUACCGCAUGGUACAGUGUGAAAAACUCCGGUGGUAUGAGAUGGACCCGCGUCCGAUUAGCCAGUUGGCGGGGUAACGGCCCACCAAAGCGACGAUCGGUAGCCGGCCUGAGAGGGCGGACGGCCACAUUGGGACUGAGACACGGCCCAGACUCC